Non-coding RNA from Sus scrofa (pig), 2676 nucleotides. The record is from RefSeq and is a predicted model, not a curated record. Lineage: Eukaryota; Metazoa; Chordata; Mammalia; Artiodactyla; Suidae.
UCAGUGGUCAUGCAGGCUAAGUGACCACCAACUCUGUCUUUGGACCCCCUCCCAGGUACAGCGAGGUGUUUAUUUCUCCCUCAUAUAACAGAUGGGCAGAUGGAGAGUUGCGUGGUGUGGAAGGGGGUUAGGGAGAGUGCCUGACCCCCGGUGGACCUACAGGCUGGACCAGGCAAUCCGAGGCUCCUCCCCCCUCCCCGGCUCCCUCCUUGGGAGAUAAGUUCCGCCCACGUUCCCGCAACGGGAGCCAUUUUCAGGGACGCAGUCUCGAGAGAGUAAGGGAUGUUGAGACUCUCCGGACAGUGUACGGGGUUGAAUCCCACUAAGGCCUCUAACUUAAACAUUUAAGGUUCUGAUGGGUGGGUGCGGAGAGCUAGCUGUCUUGCGCCGCCCAAGACAAGCCUCCUAAGCUAAUUCCCUUGCUUAUUAAACCUGCCGCCUACCCAUCUGGAGGGGUUGCCUCUUCAGGCGUCUCCUUCUGUGUAUUCCGGCUGGUUUCAGAUUUCACCUGUGACGCUCCCGAGGAGGCUGUGAACUGAGAGAAAUGACAUAUAGAGCUUGGAUUUGCCAGGUUUAGGAGGCGUGGAGCAGAGUGAACAAGAUGGGAUUUGGAGUCACAGACUUCUGGGUUCAAAUUCCAGCAGCACUGCUUCCUGGUGGUGUGACCAUGAUAUCCAACUGAAGGAGACUGGAUUAACCCAUGGACAGUGAGAUCAGGGUAUCACCCCUCCCCUUCAAAGGAUCUGCCUAGGGACAGGUCAAGGGAACUACGGUCAGCCCCUAGCUGUUGGAGAAUAGUUCUUGGGAUGCUCACCAGGGUCUCCACCAUGUUGGACUUGUUGUUACGUAAUGUUUUCACGAUGUGGAACACGUCGAUGAUGUUUUGCUGCUGGAUCAUCUCACACACGCUGCAGAUGGCACAGAAGGUUCCACUGCGGCCGCCCCCGUUUCUAAACACAGAGGAAAGCGAUGCGGAAUAUCCUGUGGAUGAUGUCCUCGUCGAUGUCUGCAGAGACGAACUCCACCUGGAUGGGCCCAUAGCAUCCCGAGGUCUUCUCUGGCCAGUACUGCAUACAGAGCUGGAACAAGGAAAGAGGUCAUGGAAAGAGGGUAGGGGCAGGGGGCGUUGGUCCCACUUAUCACCAUGCCUCUCCUUCUGCCUGCGGGACAAGUUAGUGAGGAGGAUAGUAGGCUCAGAUUUUCUGUUAGGGAACAGCCCCCCCCUCCCCUUUUUUGGCUGCACCCACACCACGUGGAAGUUCCAGGGCCAGGGAUGGACCUGGUGCCACAGCAGUGACAUUGCAGGCUCUUUAACCCACUGGGCCAUCAGCAAACUCCAGCCACCCCCCCCCCUUUUUUUUGGUUGUUGAAAAGUCAGAGUUCGCUGUGCUGAUCUCCAACCAUUUAUUAGGCUAUUGGGCCUCGGUUUCCCCACCCGUAGAAGGCGGAGAAUGUUAUCUACCUUGAUGCUGUCAGGGUUAGACAGAACACUCCAAGGGGAGGGGGCCUACCAUCCCGGGUUCAACACCAAGCAUGGAAGUUUCCCCCCAUUCUAGGAAAAUCCUUCACAGUGUUCAACAUCAGAUCAUGAGUACUUUCCAAAAAAUACUAGGCUCUGUCAUCAGAUAGGGUUGGGCCCAAAUCCAGUCUUUGUGGCUUACUCACUGUGCAACCCAGGCCUCAGUUUUAUCCUAUGUAAAAUGGGGCUAAUUGUGCUUUCCUUGCCCCAAAGAUAACAUAACAUGGCAUUGAGAGAUCUUGCCUCCUAUCAUUCCAGUUUUUUUUAGGAAGUGGAAAUUAAAACCUGUAGCUGAGAGCAAAAGGUAGUGGUUGCGUCUCAACCUCAGACAAUGCUACUCGGCCAGAGGUGGUUUUCUCACCUAAGGGACAUUUGACAACCCUGGGCAAUACAUGCAAAAAAUUCUUGUAUCCUAUCCUUUCUCCAGAACUAGAACUAGAACGGAUGAGCAGAGAGGAGGGAGACUGGAGGAGAAGGCAAAGCACACAUCUCCCACCUUCCUGUCUCUGGAACCAAAACUCCAGCUUAGGGAUAAUGCUGUGUUCACACUAUGGCCCACGGGCCAAACCUGGCCAGCUGUCUGAUUCUGUAAAUAAGGUUUUCUUGAAAUACAGCUCCAUUUACCCAUUUACAUAUUGUCUGUGGUUGCUUUUAAGCUAUAAUGGCAGAUUUGAGUAGUUGCAACAGAGACCACAUAGCCUGAAAACCCCUUAAAAUAUUUCCCAUCUGGUUCUUUCUGCAAAGAAAGUUUGCCAACCCUUGUCCUAUAUAGCAUUAUUCUGAGGAUAAAGGAAUAAUGCAUGGGAGUCUUGGAUUGGAAGAUGAAUGUUUAAAAUGGCAGUACUACUCCAAGCAAUCUACAUAUUCAAUGUGAUUCUAAUCAAAUUACCCAUUACACUUUUCACAGAACAAGAGCAAAUAAUCCUAAAAUUUAUAUGGAACCAUAAAAGAUCAAGAAUUGCCAAAGCAAUCCUGAGGAAAAAGAACGAAACAGAAAUCAUCACCCUCCCAGACUUUAGACAAUACUACAAAGCUACAGUAAUCAAAGCAGCAUGGUAUUGGCAUAAAAAUAAUGCUAUAGAUCAAUGUAUCAGAACAGACAGCCCAGAAAUAAUACCCCCACCUCCCCACCACACACACACCCCUAUGGUCAAUCU